RNAcentral lists this transfer RNA (75 nucleotides) under Puniceicoccales bacterium. RNAcentral's name for it is "tRNA-Glu". It matches the Rfam family "tRNA". From Rfam's summary of the family: Transfer RNA (tRNA) molecules are approximately 80 nucleotides in length. Their secondary structure includes four short double-helical elements and three loops (D, anti-codon, and T loops). Lineage: Bacteria; Pseudomonadati; Verrucomicrobiota; Opitutia; Puniceicoccales. The record is from RNAcentral.
GGCGGGUUCGUCUAUCGGUUAGGACGGUGCCUUCUCAUGGCUCAAAGAGGGGUUCGAUUCCCCUACCCGCUGCCA